This 405-nucleotide ribosomal RNA is filed under the name uncultured bacterium. RNAcentral describes it as "partial 16S ribosomal RNA". It matches the Rfam family "Bacterial small subunit ribosomal RNA", at positions 30 to 525 of the family's 1533-position model. The record is from RNAcentral.
AUUGAACGCUGGCGGCAGGCCUAACACAUGCAAGUCGAACGAGUGGCGGACGGGUGAGUAAUGUCUGGGAAACUGCCUGAUGGAGGGGGAUAACUACUGGAAACGGUAGCUAAUACCGCAUACCAUCAGAUGUGCCCAGAUGGGAUUAGCUAGUAGGUGAGGGAACGGCUCACCUAGGCGACGAUCCCUAGCUGGUCUGAGAGGAUGACCAGCCACGCUGGAACUGGGAAAGGUUACAGACUCCUACGGGAGGCAGCAGUGGGGAAUAUUGCACAAAGGGAGCAAGCCUGAUGCAGCCAUGCCGCGUGUAUGAAGAAGGCCUUCGGGUUGUAAAGUACUUUCAGCGGGGAGGCGUUACCAGCAGAAGAAGCAACGACUAACUCCGUGCCAGCAGCCGCGGUAAGC